Molecule: ribosomal RNA, 497 nt
Filed under: uncultured bacterium
Lineage: Bacteria
Description: partial 16S ribosomal RNA
Rfam family: Bacterial small subunit ribosomal RNA
Source: RNAcentral
GAUGAACGCUGGCGGCGUGCCUAAUACAUGCAAGUCGAGCGAACAGACGAGGAGCUUGCUCCUCUGACGUUAGCGGCGGACGGGUGAGUAACACGUGGAUAACCUACCUAUAAGACUGGGAUAACUUCGGGAAACCGGAGCUAAUACCGGAUAAUAUAUUGAACCGCAUGGUUCAAUAGUGAAAGACGGUUUUGCUGUCACUUAUCGAUGGAUCCGCGCCGCAUUAGCUAGUUGGUAAGGUAACGGCCUACCAAGGCAACGAUGCGUAGCCGACCUGAGAGGGUGGUCGGCCGCACGAGAGCGUGGACACGGACCAGACUCCUACGGGAGGCAGCAGUAGGGAAUCUGCCGCAGUGGGCGAAAGCCUGACGGAGCAACGCCGCGUGAGUGAUGAAGGUCUUCGGAUCGGAAAACUCUGUUAUUAGGGAAGAACAAAUGUGUAAGUAACUAUGCACGUCUUGACGGUACCUAAUCAGAAAGCCACGGCUAACUACGUG